CUGCCUGGGGAAUGGUUUUGAGGAAUGCUUGUACAAUACAGGCGUGCUGACCGUAUAGAGAGCUCCGUACAAGGAGGGUGCCUCUGGAUAUGCUAAAGAAACCCCAAAGUGGGGAACACGACACAGAGACCUUUAGCUCUGCCAUUGCAAUACCCUUCCCAAGACAGCAGAGGAGAGAUGAGAAGAAGAGACAACCUUCUGGAAAAGAGGGACUCAUUUCCCAAGUGGAUGCAGAAGCAAAGCUGCUACGUGUGUGCUUCAAGGUAAUAGGGGGUGGCAGCAACCAGAGAUAGCAGUUGAGGAGAUGUGAGAUUACUGGAAAAGGUCCUGGAGGAGGCAAAAAUAAGGUGCAGAAGAGCAUGAAUGAAGGGUGAUAAUUUGCCAUGCUCUUUCUACCUAGCCCUGCUUAGGUGCAGCCUAGCCCUCAACACAGAUUUGUCCCAGUGUCCAAUCUGGAGGAGGGGAAGACAGGUGAAGGUGAGCAUCUGCUUCUACCUUACCACCAGUAUCUCUGUCUGCAAGGAAGCUCUUCCAUAUGCCCCACUCUGGUUCCCCUUCCCAGUUCCCACUGCAGCUUCUUCACUCAGGGAAGGGUUGUGCCAUGAAGAGGGUGUUGUGGUUUACUGUCCCAGGCCCCACUGUUUAUCAGGCAUCAGUUGUCCCAGCUAGUGGCAUAGAAAGAUUUAAUUUAACUGAGAGCAUGAAAACCACAACCUGGAGCAAAGCAGCUUCUGUAGUGUGACUUAAUUUCAGAGCAAAUGAACUGGGAUCAAAAAAGGUCAUGGUGACAAAGCGGAGUUAAAAGCUGACUUAGAUCAACAUGCUCAACCAAUUGAGAAACAAAGGGAAUAAGGAAAUAACGUGACAAAUUCAAAAAUCAAUAAACAGGUUGCGGUUAAUGUGCA
Empidonax traillii (willow flycatcher) is the source of this 905-nucleotide long non-coding RNA. RefSeq lists it as uncharacterized. The record is from RefSeq and is a predicted model, not a curated record. The transcript is spliced from 2 exons. Lineage: Eukaryota; Metazoa; Chordata; Aves; Passeriformes; Tyrannidae.